AGAAGGAUUGGAAUCUCGUGGGCUUUUGCAUAGACUGUAGUAUAAUAUCUUAUGCGGCGAGAGAUUUUGUGAGAUUACCCGUGAUGCAUCUGGGAAAUGCUAAACAUGCCUUGAUUAAUGGCGGACAUUUCAUCACCUAAACAAACUGACACCCGAUAAACACAUGGAGAGACCCGGUCCGUCACCUUGUUCUAGCUACACCAUUCUUAUGAAUCUGUUCGGUCCUUAUUCUUUUACUAGCAAGUUUGGUUCCUGUAAUCAAAAAGAAACGUUCUAUUUUGACUGUCUGUAAGUUGACAUCAUCCGCAAUUUCUAUGACCGCAGGUAUUAUGCUUGCCUAUGCACUGAACCAGUACAGGAAACACUAUAAAACAUUGAUGGAAUUUGACCCAUUCUUUGGGUAUCCGGAUGAAGAUUAUUUGACAACCGGAUUCUUCCUGGCUACAGCCGCAUGUGCUUUAUACUUUGUCACAGUCCUUGUAAAUAUUAUUAGUGUUUUGUUACCUGUGAAAUCAGAGACAGUUGUUGGUCCAUUUUAGAAGUAUACCAUGAACAUAAACGUAUUAUUGCAACUGAUUAAAUCGUUUAAUAUUUAAUU
Molecule: long non-coding RNA, 598 nt
Organism: Mytilus trossulus (common blue mussel)
Lineage: Eukaryota; Metazoa; Mollusca; Bivalvia; Mytilida; Mytilidae
Exons: 3
Source: RefSeq, a predicted model, not a curated record